Molecule: long non-coding RNA, 930 nt
Organism: Bos taurus (domestic cattle)
Lineage: Eukaryota; Metazoa; Chordata; Mammalia; Artiodactyla; Bovidae
Source: Ensembl
UCAGACAAGGAGACUGCAGCCCUGAGAGGUCACGUGACCCAUUGGAAGUGGCACUGCCCAGGGUAUAUUCUUUACAGGUGAGCCACCCGGGAAGCCCUGUGGUGAGGAUUAAAAGAGAGAACCAGCUGUGGCACUCAGCACUGGGCUUAGUGUGUCUCCACGAAGACUGCAAUAACAGCAGCUAGUUCAUAAUUCAUAUUCACCCGACACUUUGCGAGUUGAGGAAGCUGAAGCCUGGAGAGGUGCUUCAAGAGACAAGUUGCUUUGCUGGUCACCACAGAGCACAGAAUAAAGCUCCUGGUGCUUUACAGUCGGUUCAGUCCUGGUUCUUAUCGAAUCUUCCCUGGUUGCCAGUCACCUGCUGCGGGGGCUCUUUCAUUUACUCGAGGGACCAUCCCGGGAACAACACCUGGACCCUGCUCUCCGAAGGAGGAAAGGUCAUGCAGUGAUGUCAUAACCUCAGCAGGAAACUUCCGCCACAGGACCUAAAGGGUUCAGAGAAGCCUCGCGCUGUUUUUUCCAGCCUCACCAUCAAAGGGGGAGAGGUGAGCGCAGGGUGACAGAGACUUUAGCCCUGUGCACACGCCGUGCUCCCACAGCGCUGAUGCUCGGAGCAGUAACAUCAGGAUCUCCGUGAUUCCUGGGCCAGUUGGGGGAUCAGAAGGAAAUCAGGCUUUUGGCCUUUCCACCCCUGGAGAAAAACCACAGUUUUGCUACUGCUCACCUUCUCUAGAUUGGACCUGGAGGUGGGGAGGGGAGAGAGGAGAGCGAUGUUGCCCUGCCCUCUGCUGGGGGAAGCACAGCAAAACCGCACUAAAUUCAGGGGCCGACGAGCUUGGGUUUCAGGUUAUCUGAGCGGAAACCCUCCUUCGUCCACUUUCUGAGACUGCAUCCUGGAUGGCAGAGCAGAGGCCACCGUGGACUCUUAGC